UCUGGGGCCCCGUUGCGAACUGGGGAUUCGUCGUUGGGCUUGUGGAUCUCAACAGAUGUCGGGCAACAUGACAAGUGUACUCGCUCUUGUUUAUGAGAUUCGCGUGGAUGGUCCAGCCUCGGAUUUAUCUGCUCUUCUUGUGCCAUGCCGCAAACGAGCUCUAUCACUUGGCGAGCCACCAGUUAAGUUUCUCGCUUGGUUUCUCGC
This is a long non-coding RNA of Selaginella moellendorffii, 207 nucleotides long. RefSeq lists it as uncharacterized. The transcript is spliced from 3 exons. The record is from RefSeq and is a predicted model, not a curated record. Lineage: Eukaryota; Viridiplantae; Streptophyta; Lycopodiopsida; Selaginellales; Selaginellaceae.